UUCUUUUCUUUUUUUCCUUUUUAAUUUCUUUUAAAAUUUUCCAUUUUAAGUUGGUUAUUUCUGAUUUAUAUUUAAAAGCAAAUAAUAAUGAUAUGGUAGGAGAUACACACCAAACAGGAUGUGUAAAUUAUUAUAUAAUAAGUAUUGUGCAAUAGCAAGAAAUUUUCAAUUGCACAGUAUUGCACAAUAGCAAGAAAUCUUCAAUUGCACAGUAUUGCGCAAUAGCAAGAAAUCUUCAAUUGCACAGUAUUGCGCAAUAGCAAGAAAUAUCCAAUAGCACAAUAUUGCGCAAUAGCAAGAAAUUGUCAAUUGUACAGUAUUGCGCAAUAGAAAGAAAUAUUCAAUUGCACAGUAUUGUACAAAAGAAGAUACUUCGUAUAAAUUGGUUAUUUCUUGAUCAAUUUCAAUGGGGUUUUAUUCUUGAAUUCUUGGGGUUCUUUAAUAUGCUGAAUCUAACUGUGUAUUAAGUUUUUGGAUUUUGGGACCCGUUUUUUAAUUGGUCCACAUUGAGGUCCAAAGGGUCCAAAAUUUAGCUUUGUUUGAUUUCAUCAAAAAUUGAAUUAUUGGGGUUCUUUGAUAUGCCGAAUCUAACCGUGUAUUUAGAUUCUUAAUUUUUGGUUCCGUUUUCAAAUUGGUCUACAUUAAGGUCCAAAGGGUCCAAAAUUAAACUUAGUUUGAUUUUAACAAAAAUUGAAUUUUUAGGGUUCUUUGAUAUGCUGAAUCUAAACAUGUAUUUAGAUUUUUGAUUAUGGGCCCAGUUUUCAAGUUGGUCCAAAUCAGAGUCCAAAAUUAAACUUUGUUUGAUUUCAACAAAAAUUGAAUAUAUGGGGUUCUUUGAUAUGCUGAAUUUAACCAUGUAUUUAGAUUUUUGAUUUUUGGGCCCCGUUAUCAACUUUGUCCACAUUGAGGUCAAAAGGGUCCAAAAUUAAACUUUGUUUGAUUUCAUCAAAAAUUGAAUUAUUGGGGUUCUUUGAUAUGCCAAAUCUAACCGUGUAUUUAGAUUUUUAAUUUUGGGUCUCGUUUUUAAAUUGGUCUACAUUAAGGUCCAAAGGGUCCAAAAUUAAACUUAGUUUGAUUUUAACAAAAAUUGAAUUCUUGGGGUUCUUUGAUAUGCUGAAUCUAAACAUGUGUUUAGAAUUUUGAUUAUGGGCCCAGUUUUCAAGUUGGUCCAAGUUGGGGUCCAAAAUUAAACUUUGUUUGAUUUCAACAAAAAUUGAAUAUAUGGGGUUCUUUGAUAUGCUGAAUCUAAACAUGUAUUUAGAUUUUAGAUUUUUGGCCCAGUUUUCAAGUUGGUUCAAAUUGGGGUCCAAAAUUAAACUUUGUUUGAUUUCAACAAAAAUUGAAUAUAUGGGGUUCUUUGAUAUGCUGAAUCUUACCAUGUAUUUAGAUUUUUUAUUUGUGGGCCCGCUAUCAAAUUGGUUCAUAUUGAGGUCAAAAGGGUCCAAAAUUAAACUUUGUUUGAUUUCAUCAAAAAUUGAAUUAUUGGGGUUCUUUGAUAUGCCAAAUCUAACCGUGUAUUUAGAUUUGUAAUUUUGGGUCCCGUUUUUUAAAUUGGUCUACAUUAAGGUCCAAAGGGUCCAAAAUUAAACUUAGUUUGAUUUUAACAAAAAUUGAAUUUUUGGGGUUCUUUGAUAUGCUGAAUCUAAACAUGUGUUUAGAUUUUUGAUUAUGGGACCAGUUUUCAAGUUGGUCCAAGUUGGGGUCCAUAAUUAAACUUUGUUUGAUUUCAACAAAAAUUGAAUAUAUGGGGUUCUUUGAUAUGCUGAAUCUAAACAUGUAUUUAGAUUUUUGAUUUUUGGCCCAGUUUUCAAGUUGGUCCAAAUUGGGGUCCAAAAUUAAACUUUGUUUGAUUUCAACAAAAAUUGAAUAUAUGGGGUUCUUUGAUAUGCUGAAUCUUACCAUGUAUUUAGAUUUUUUAUUUUGUAGGCCCGCUAUCAAAUUGGUUCAUAUUGUGGUCAAAAGGGUCCAAAAUUAAACUUUGUUUGAUUUCAUCAAAAAUUGAAUUAUUGGGGUUCUUUGAUAUGCCAAAUCUAAACGUGUUUUUAGAUUUUUAAUUUUGGGUCCCGUUUUUUAAAUUGGUCUACAUUAAGGUCCAAAGGGUCCAAAAUUAAACUUUGUUUGAUUUUAACAAAAAUUGAAUUCUUGGGGUACUUUGAUAUGCUGAAUCUAAACAUGUGUUUAGAUUUUUGAUUAUGGGACCAGUUUUCAAGUUUGUCCAAGUUGGGGUCCAAAAUUAAACUUUGUUUGAUUUCAACAAAAAUUGAAUAUAUGGGGUUCUUUGAUAUGCUGAAUCUAACCAUGUAUUUUGAUUUUGGACAUUGGACCAUAAUAGGUAAAUUAAAAAAAUUGAAGUUCUUAGACCACAUUCUUUCUGUGUCAGAAACCUAUGCUGUGUCAAAUAUUUAAUCACAAUCCAAAUUCAGAGCUGUAUCAAGCUUGAAUGUUGUGUCCAUACUUGCCCCAACUGUUCAGGGUUCGACCUCUGCGGUCGUAUCAAGCUGCGCCCAGCGAAGCAUUUUAUUUUAU
This is a long non-coding RNA of Mytilus californianus (California mussel), 2526 nucleotides long. RefSeq lists it as uncharacterized. The record is from RefSeq and is a predicted model, not a curated record. The transcript has 2 exons. NCBI's taxonomy places the organism in Eukaryota, Metazoa, Mollusca, Bivalvia, Mytilida, Mytilidae.